This 378-nucleotide ribosomal RNA is filed under the name uncultured bacterium. RNAcentral describes it as "bacterial SSU rRNA". It matches the Rfam family "Bacterial small subunit ribosomal RNA", at positions 30 to 412 of the family's 1533-position model. The record is from RNAcentral.
AUUGAACGCUGGCGGCAUGCCUUACACAUGCAAGUCGAACGGCAGCGCGGGGCAACCUGGCGGCGAGUGGCGAACGGGUGAGUAAUAUAUCGGAACAUACCCUAGAGUGGGGGAUAACGUAGCGAAAGUUACGCUAAUACCGCAUACGCACUAAGGUGGAAAGUGGGGGAGUCUUCGGACCUCAUGCUCAUGGAGUGGCCGAUAUCUGAUUAGCUAGUUGGUGAGGUAAAGGCUCACCAAGGCGACGAUCAGUAGCUGGUUUGAGAGAACGACCAGCCACACUGGAACUGAGACACGGUCCAGACUCUACGGAGGCAGCAGUGGGAAUUUUGGACAAUGGGGGCAACCCUGAUCCAGCAAUGCCGCGUGAGUGAAGAA